CUAGCAAAAGAAGACCUCUACCCUGUACCAAUCCAGAGCCCUGCGUACCAGUUGGUUUGCAGUCCCUCUGUAGUAGCAGAUGCUUUUGCAUAAUGUCAGUGCACUGUAGAGGUGGAUUUCCAUCAAUGACAGCAGACCUAUGCCUGAAAUCAAGGUAGAGACUGGGAAGUCUCUUAUGUAAGCACCCAGCGGAAUCCAGUGGACAAUGAGUAGCAAGUGGGCACACUUCUGAGGAUGCUUCCGGAAAUCUUACACUACUAUUUUAACCCGUACUCAGUCUUGAAUCACUGGGUAAUAUUUUAGUUGUGGUUUCCUUGCCUACUUUUACGGCAGCUGCCUCAUGUCCCCAUGCUUGCCAAAGAUAAAAUGUCCAUGUGACCUA
Macaca mulatta (Rhesus monkey) is the source of this 382-nucleotide non-coding RNA. Lineage: Eukaryota; Metazoa; Chordata; Mammalia; Primates; Cercopithecidae. The record is from RefSeq and is a predicted model, not a curated record.